RNAcentral lists this unclassified non-coding RNA (270 nucleotides) under Hevea brasiliensis (rubber tree). Lineage: Eukaryota; Viridiplantae; Streptophyta; Magnoliopsida; Malpighiales; Euphorbiaceae. The record is from RNAcentral.
ACUCAAAUUUAGAGUCACCCGGAAGGGCUAAUUAUUAGAUACACCAGAAGUAUUAAAAAAUAAUACUCCAUCUCAUAAAAAAAUAAGUCCUCCUUAUAAUAGGGAGAGCAUGUCUCAUAUAAUUAUGAGAAAUUGUGCAUGUACACUGGAUGCACCAAAUAAUUUCUCCAAUAGAAGUAAAGAGUGCAUGGGAGGCCUACCUUAACCUGACAAUUAGAUAGAGAGGGGCUAAAACCUUUCAAAUAUUUUUUAUAUGCUAGAUAUGUGUCA